Hyaena hyaena (striped hyena) is the source of this 363-nucleotide long non-coding RNA. RefSeq lists it as uncharacterized. Lineage: Eukaryota; Metazoa; Chordata; Mammalia; Carnivora; Hyaenidae. The transcript is spliced from 3 exons. The record is from RefSeq and is a predicted model, not a curated record.
ACUAUCAGCAUGUCCCACAAAUGCCAAGUAUGUCAAGAAUACUUGGUCCCAGAUACUCAGUAUCCUCCCCAGAAGCUGAUCAAAAGUCUCUCCCCUGGAGAGUGCUCCCUGGAGAGUACCAGCUGACCUGAGGGCUGAAGGACAAUCAGACAUGAGACCCACCUGACAUGGGUAAAGUAAUGCAGUUGAGAAAUAAGGCUCCAUGAGGCUGAAGUCAGGGCCUCUAAGUAAAGAAGACAUGAAAGAAGUAGAAUCCACAGACCUUGGUAUUCUGACUUGGGCAGCCAGUGGAUGGAUGUGCCUUCUGUUCAGGUCACCCUUUAUUCAGCCCUCUUCUGACCACUCCAGCUCAUAAGUCACCUC